CUACGGGCCGCAGCAGUGGGGAAUAUUGGACAAUGGGGGAAACCCUGAUCCAGCAAUGCCGCGUGUGUGAAGAAGGCCUGCGGGUUGUAAAGCACUUUCGGUUGGGAGGACUGCUUCUAGCACUAAUAUUGUUGGAAGUUGACGUUACCUUCAGAAGAAGCACCGGCUAACUCCGUGCCAGCAGCCGCGGUAAUACGGAGGGUGCAAGCGUUAAUCGGAAUUGCUGGGCGUAAAGCGCGCGUAGGCGGCUAGAUCAGUCGGGUGUGAAAGCCCCGGGCUUAACCUGGGAACUGCAUCCGAUACUGUCGAGCUUGAGUACAGGAGAGGAGAGUGGAAUUCCACAUGUAGCGGUGAAAUGCGUAGAUAUGUGGAGGAACACCAAUGGCGAAGGCAGCUCUCUGGCCUGAUACUGACGCUGAGGUGCGAAGGCGUGGGGAGCAAACAGGAUUAGAUACCCCUGUAGUC
This 465-nucleotide ribosomal RNA is filed under the name uncultured bacterium. RNAcentral describes it as "partial 16S ribosomal RNA". It matches the Rfam family "Bacterial small subunit ribosomal RNA", at positions 339 to 795 of the family's 1533-position model. The record is from RNAcentral.